CCUACGGGAGGCAGCAGUGGGGAAUCUUGCACAAUGGAGGAAACUCUGAUGCAGCGAUGCCGCGUGAGUGAAGAAGGCCCUUGGGUUGUAAAGCUCUUUCGUCGGGGAAGAAAAUGACUGUACCCGAAUAAGAAGGUCCGGCUAACUUCGUGCCAGCAGCCGCGGUAAUACGAAGGGACCUAGCGUAGUUCGGAAUUACUGGGCUUAAAGAGUUCGUAGGUGGUUGAAAAAGUUAGUGGUGAAAUCCCAGAGCUUAACUCUGGAACUGCCAUUAAAACUUUUCAGCUAGAGUAUGAUAGAGGAAAGCAGAAUUUCUAGUGUAGAGGUGAAAUUCGUAGAUAUUAGAAAGAAUACCAAUUGCGAAGGCAGCUUUCUGGAUCAUUACUGACACUGAGGAACGAAAGCAUGGGUAGCGAAGAGGAUUAGAUACCCUCGUAGUCCAUGCCGUAAACGAUGUGUGUUAGACGUUGGAAAUUUAUUUUCAGUGUCGCAGCGAAAGCGAUAAACACACCGCCUGGGGAGUACGACCGCAAGGUUAAAACUCAAAUGAAUUGACG
Molecule: ribosomal RNA, 557 nt
Filed under: uncultured bacterium
Lineage: Bacteria
Description: bacterial SSU rRNA
Rfam family: Bacterial small subunit ribosomal RNA
Source: RNAcentral